CGAGGAGCAUCGGUUUCAGUGAAAGUUUUAUAUGCAUGGAUUUCAUCUCAAGUUGAAGCUCAUUUACAGGUGAAGCAUGUCCUGUCCCAGGCUGAGAACAUAGAGAUGGCACACCUGCUUGUCAAGAUUCUAAUGUCCCACUUCCAGGAACAUGAAGAUGGACUGGUUUUGCAUGCAGACGUUGCUGCAUCUGCAUCUGAUGUUGAGAAGACACUCAAUCUGCCUGCCAGUCCUCGUCUGAUUUUGCUGGGUAUGGCAGAGCCGGCAAAUGCUGUAUGGUAG
This is a long non-coding RNA of Sinocyclocheilus anshuiensis, 282 nucleotides long. RefSeq lists it as uncharacterized. The transcript has 4 exons. The record is from RefSeq and is a predicted model, not a curated record. NCBI's taxonomy places the organism in Eukaryota, Metazoa, Chordata, Actinopteri, Cypriniformes, Cyprinidae.